AUGAAAGCUUUGAAAGGGAUAAGUAGAUAUUAUAAUAUUUUAAAGAGAGUGAGAGAUUUGGUGUAAACUCACAGAUAUAUAAUAUUGAAACUCACCCUUGAGCUGUAAGCUGAAAUUAGUAGGCUGGGCCGGCUUUGCCGUUAUUAAAUUGAGUAAUAAAAUUGGGUGGUACCGUGAACAGACUUCUCACCCCAUAA
This 197-nucleotide non-coding RNA is filed under the name Clostridium autoethanogenum. RNAcentral describes it as "T-box sequence". It matches the Rfam family "T-box leader". Rfam says of the family: Uncharged tRNA acts as the effector for transcription antitermination of genes in the T-box leader family. T-boxes are found upstream of many aminoacyl-tRNA synthetase genes and some amino acid biosynthetic genes usually in Gram-positive bacteria. The anticodon of a specific tRNA base pairs to a specifier sequence within the T-box motif, and the NCCA acceptor tail of the tRNA base pairs to a conserved bulge in the T-box antiterminator hairpin. Lineage: Bacteria; Bacillati; Bacillota; Clostridia; Eubacteriales; Clostridiaceae. The record is from RNAcentral.